RNAcentral lists this transfer RNA (84 nucleotides) under Araneus ventricosus. It matches the Rfam family "tRNA". From Rfam's summary of the family: Transfer RNA (tRNA) molecules are approximately 80 nucleotides in length. Their secondary structure includes four short double-helical elements and three loops (D, anti-codon, and T loops). The record is from Rfam by way of RNAcentral. Lineage: Eukaryota; Metazoa; Arthropoda; Arachnida; Araneae; Araneidae.
GUCAGGAUGGCCGAGCGGUCUAAGGCGCUGCUUUCCGGUCGAAAUCCACUCUUGUGGGCGUUGGUACGAAUCCCACUUCUGACA